UUCUUUAAGACUCUCAUUUAAAGUAAAACCUGCUCAAUGAUAUUUAAAUAGCUGCAGGAGACUGUACUAAGGUAGCAAGAUCAAUAGUUCUCUAAUUAAGAACGCGUAUGAAAGGUAUUAUAAAAAUAUAAAAUCUUAAUAAGACUUAUUGAACUUAAAAAUUAAGUCAAAAUUCUUAAUUAAAAUUUAGGGACGAGAAGACCCUAAAAGCUUAAUAUUAAAUUUUUCUUUAAAUAAAUUCAAAAUUUGAUUGGGGUAAUCUAAUAAGAAAAAAAUUUAUCUUACGAGCCAUUAUUUAAUGAUUAUAGAACAAGUUACUUUAGGGAUAACAGCGUUAUAAAAGAAAAAGAGCUCCUAUCUUUUUCUUUGUUUGCGACCUCGAUGUUGGAUUAAUUUACCUAUUAGGAGAAAGCUCUUACCAAGGUAGACUGUUCGUCUAUUAAAUAUUUACA
RNAcentral lists this ribosomal RNA (452 nucleotides) under Parogovia sp. DNA104618. RNAcentral's name for it is "partial 16S ribosomal RNA". It matches the Rfam family "Archaeal large subunit ribosomal RNA", at positions 1921 to 2669 of the family's 2987-position model. Lineage: Eukaryota; Metazoa; Arthropoda; Arachnida; Opiliones; Neogoveidae. The record is from RNAcentral.